Molecule: long non-coding RNA, 486 nt
Organism: Notolabrus celidotus (New Zealand spotty)
Lineage: Eukaryota; Metazoa; Chordata; Actinopteri; Labriformes; Labridae
Exons: 3
Source: RefSeq, a predicted model, not a curated record
UCCAGCCCUUUGCUUGUUGAGCGGAGGGAAGAGAAGGACAGGGGAAGGCUUCGCACUUCAAAGAUUAUUGAUUGGUGUUGACAAGCUGAUAGUGGAUAAAACCUAAGUGCAUUUCCAAUAUAUCCACUUCAGUAUGUCUUGAUGUGCCACCUUUAUUAGAUGGACUUGAGGUAGCACUGGAGUAACUUGAGAAGCAAGUCAACCACUCCUAUGGGAACCUCUGAGAAACUCCACUCCUCCAUAAUAUUUAAGUCUGGGAUCUGCCUCAAGACAGCUGAAGAGAGACAGGAAGUGUGGGGAGCAGAGAGCGGAGGAAGACAUGGAGGAAAUGGUCAAGGUCGCAAGUCGAACCUGCAUUACUGUGACGAGGACUACAGCUCCGUACAUGUGGUAUAUGUAGUUCAGUUAUUUGUCAUGAGUUGAUGUUUAGUUUAGUUUCAUGCAUAGUUCUUGAUCCCUGUGUUUCUAGUUUUACUUCCUGUCCUU